ACACAUGCAGUCGAGCGGUAGCAGUCCUUCGGGAGCUGACGAGCGGCGGACGGGUGAGGAAUGCUUGGGAAUCUGCCCGAUAGAGGGGGAUAACUACGGGAAACUGCAGCUAAUACCGCAUGAUCUCUUAAGAGCAAAGCGGGGGACCUUCGGGCCUCGCGCUAUCGGAUGAGCCCAAGUGGGAUUAGCUAGUUGGUAGGGUAAAGGCCUACCAAGGCGACGAUCUCUAACUGGUCUGAGAGGAUGAUCAGUCACACUGGAACUGAGACACGGUCCAGACUCCUACGGGAGGCAGCAGUGGGGAAUAUUGGACAAUGGGGGCAACCCUGAUCCAGCCAUGCCGCGUGGUGAAGAAGGCCUUCGGGUUGUAAAGCCCUUUUGGCGGGGAGGAAGGGUGUGAGGUAAAUAAUCUCGCACUUUGACGUUACCCGCAGAAUAAGCACCGGCAAACUCCGUGCCAGCAGCCGUGGUAAUACGGAGGGUGCAAGCGUUAAUCGGAAUUACUGGGCGUAAAGCGCAUGCAGGCGGUCUGUUAAGUCAGAUGUGAAAUCCCCGGGCUUAACCUGGGAACUGCAUUUGAAACUGGCAGACUGGAGUCCUGGAGAGGGGGGUAGAAUUUCCGGUGUAGCGGUGAAAUGCGUAGAUAUCGGAAGGAAUACCAGUGGCGAA
Molecule: ribosomal RNA, 669 nt
Filed under: uncultured bacterium
Lineage: Bacteria
Description: bacterial SSU rRNA
Rfam family: Bacterial small subunit ribosomal RNA
Source: RNAcentral